Non-coding RNA from Cerioporus squamosus, 86 nucleotides. Lineage: Eukaryota; Fungi; Basidiomycota; Agaricomycetes; Polyporales; Polyporaceae. The record is from the annotation of a GenBank genome assembly.
GGGCAUGUGGUGUAGUUGGUUAUCACGCUCGCUUAGCAUCAAUCAGUGCCUGCGAGAGGGGUCCGGUUCAAUCCCGGACAUGUCCA